ACGCUCGACACCUACGGGAGCAGCAGUGGGGAAUAUUGGGCAAUGGGCGCAAGCCUGACCCAGCAACGCCGCGUGAAGGAAGAAGGCCCUCGGGUUGUAAACUUCUUUUAACAGGGACGAAGUAAGUGACGGUACCUGUUGAAUAAGCCACGGCUAACUACGUGCCAGCAGCCGCGGUAAUCUGAGCGGGCUGGCAAGGC
RNAcentral lists this ribosomal RNA (200 nucleotides) under uncultured bacterium. RNAcentral describes it as "partial 16S ribosomal RNA". It matches the Rfam family "Bacterial small subunit ribosomal RNA", at positions 328 to 539 of the family's 1533-position model. The record is from RNAcentral.